GGAAGUAAAAGCGUAACAAGGCUUCCGUAGGUGAACCUGCGGAAGGAUCAUUAUUGUAUAACCGAGGUGCGAGGGCUGUCGCUGACCCGAAAGGUCGUGCACGCCCGAGUGCCCUCACACACAUCCAUCUCACCCCUAUGUGCACCACCGCGUGGGUCCCCCUUUGGCUUGUUCGGAGGGGGGCUUACGUUUUCACACAAACUUUGUAUGCAGUGUAGAAUGUAUUUUUUGUUUUUGCGAUCACGCAAUCAAUACAACUUUCAACAACGGAUCUCUUGGCUCUC
Molecule: unclassified non-coding RNA, 284 nt
Filed under: plant metagenome
Description: partial contains small subunit ribosomal RNA, internal transcribed spacer 1, and 5.8S ribosomal RNA
Rfam family: Eukaryotic small subunit ribosomal RNA (bases 1-53)
Source: RNAcentral